Molecule: ribosomal RNA, 487 nt
Filed under: Chionosphaera apobasidialis
Lineage: Eukaryota; Fungi; Basidiomycota; Agaricostilbomycetes; Agaricostilbales; Chionosphaeraceae
Description: LSU rRNA
Rfam family: Eukaryotic large subunit ribosomal RNA
Source: RNAcentral
UUAAAAUCUGGCUCUUUCAGAGUCCGAGUUGUGAGCUUGAAGCGUUGCGUCCCCGACGGACCUUGGGUAUAUCAGCUGGAAAGCUGUCUCAGAGAGGGUGACAAGCCCGUUCAUACCAAGGACGCCCGUUGGAGUCUGGCGCAGCUGCUAUAGAGUCGAGUUGUUUGGGAAUGCAGCUCUAAUUGGGUGGUAAACUCCAUCUAAAGCUAAAUAUUGGCGGAAGACCGAUAGCGAACAAGUACCGUGAGGGAAAGAUGAAAAGCACUUUGGAAAGAGAAUGAAACAGUAUGUGAAAUUGCUGGAAGGGAAACGAUUGAGGUUAGACGUGCUUGGCGUGCCUUCAGCCCUUACGGGUGUACUGGCGCGCCGCAGCAGGCCAGCAUCGGUUUGUUGCGUCGGGUAAAAGGGUGGCAGGGACGUGGCUGUCUUCGGACAGUGUUAUAACCUGCCACUGGAUGCCCGGCGUCAGACCGAGGAUCGCAGGGCG